AUCCAACUGACUAGCCCAAAAUAGGGCGAAACGAGAGUCCUGGAU
Molecule: non-coding RNA, 45 nt
Filed under: Schistosoma curassoni
Lineage: Eukaryota; Metazoa; Platyhelminthes; Trematoda; Strigeidida; Schistosomatidae
Source: RNAcentral